UUUUUCAUUACUACUUCAGGCAGCAACGGAAUAAGACGUGUGUGCGGAACGUGAAAAAUAAAAACAAGCAAGAAAUACUCUACUUAUAUUUCAGUUGUAAACAAAAAACCAAGCGGAAAGCGAAAAUCAAAACCGAGAAAAUUUAUAAAUGAACACACGUGUGAAUUCUUGCCAUUAAAAUGAACAAACAUAAAUUAAUUGCCAACGAUGACAAUGUAAUUUAAAUGUUUUCGUGCAACAUUUAACAAAUAAUACCAAAAUUCAACGGUAGAUAAAUUGGAGUGUGUGCGAUUUUUUGUUUAAGAAAGAGUUUUACGCUUUCAGGAUCUCAACCUACAUCAACAAAACGCGUUUUAUAUUUUUUAUCAAAUCAAAUUUACAUAAUAUUUGAUU
Molecule: long non-coding RNA, 393 nt
Organism: Drosophila innubila
Lineage: Eukaryota; Metazoa; Arthropoda; Insecta; Diptera; Drosophilidae
Exons: 2
Source: RefSeq, a predicted model, not a curated record